Molecule: long non-coding RNA, 250 nt
Filed under: Brassica napus (rape)
Lineage: Eukaryota; Viridiplantae; Streptophyta; Magnoliopsida; Brassicales; Brassicaceae
Description: long non-coding RNA (BNAP_LNC017694)
Source: RNAcentral
AUUAGGUGGUUAGUUUAGGGAAUUUAGUUUAGGAAAUUAGUUUAGAAAAUUUAGGUUUCGUAAUUUUAUUAAUUACGUAGUUAAUACUGUUCAUAAUUUUUUUUUUACUCUUGAUUUUAAUUUAGAAAUUUAAAUUUUGCAGACUAUUCGCAAGCACCAGCGUACUGCUCACUACUCGCAGAUGUUCGGUCAACCGGGUAGUCGGUUUGACCCGCCUUCACUUCCCGGUUCUUCUUCAGCUCCUGGUUCU